Small nucleolar RNA from Xenia sp. Carnegie-2017, 67 nucleotides. RefSeq annotates it as small nucleolar RNA SNORD61. The record is from RefSeq and is a predicted model, not a curated record. The transcript has a single exon. NCBI's taxonomy places the organism in Eukaryota, Metazoa, Cnidaria, Anthozoa, Malacalcyonacea, Xeniidae.
UCAGUGAUGAAUAUUUCUCAUUGUGAAAUGAACAAUGAUCAAUUAUCCUCUAAGAAGUUCUGAGAAG